ACUCCCUUAGCUCAGCGUGUAGAGCACUUCCCUUACAAGGAAGGGGUCAUUGGUUCGAAUCCAAUAGGGAGUACCA
RNAcentral lists this transfer RNA (76 nucleotides) under Vibrio phage VPT02. RNAcentral's name for it is "tRNA-Val". It matches the Rfam family "tRNA". From Rfam's summary of the family: Transfer RNA (tRNA) molecules are approximately 80 nucleotides in length. Their secondary structure includes four short double-helical elements and three loops (D, anti-codon, and T loops). Further hydrogen bonds mediate the characteristic L-shaped molecular structure. tRNAs have two regions of fundamental functional importance: the anti-codon, which is responsible for specific mRNA codon recognition, and the 3' end, to which the tRNAs corresponding amino acid is attached (by aminoacyl-tRNA synthetases). tRNAs cope with the degeneracy of the genetic code in two manners: having more than one tRNA (with a specific anti-codon) for a particular amino acid; and 'wobble' base-pairing, i.e. permitting non-standard base-pairing at the 3rd anti-codon position. Lineage: Duplodnaviria; Heunggongvirae; Uroviricota; Caudoviricetes; Demerecviridae. The record is from RNAcentral.